GGAGAUAAGGGUAGAAAACAUGUUGUGUUUGCACCUGGAGAUCUUGUUUGGUUACAUUUGCGUAAGGAUAGAUUUCCUGAUUUGCGCAAAUCAAAGCUAAUGCCACGUGCUGAUGGUCCCUUUAAGGUGUUAGAGAAAAUAAAUGAUAAUGCAUAUAAACUUGAGCUGCCUGCAGAUUUUGGGGUUAGUCCCACUUUUAACAUUGCAGAUUUGAAGCCUUAUUUGGGUGAGGAAGAUGAGUUUCCGUCGAGGACGACUUCAUUUCAAGAAGGGGAGGAUGAUGAGGACAUCAAUACCAUUGUUACACCCACA
RNAcentral lists this ribosomal RNA (312 nucleotides) under Triticum aestivum (bread wheat). RNAcentral's name for it is "partial small subunit ribosomal RNA". Lineage: Eukaryota; Viridiplantae; Streptophyta; Magnoliopsida; Poales; Poaceae. The record is from RNAcentral.